ACUGAUGUUUGAGGCUAUGAGAAAGACCUUGAAUAGGUCCAAGGCACACUUGCCUUUUGGUAUGGCUCUCACUUUAGUAUUUAGGAGGUUCGGAGUUAGCUUUGAGGGGGAGGCAGUAGCUAGGCUAUCUCACUCCGACACUAUGAACCGCCAUACUUUGCACCGCAUGGGAUUUUUCAAAACUGAUGGUGGUUGGGCAAA
Molecule: long non-coding RNA, 201 nt
Filed under: Elaeis guineensis (African oil palm)
Lineage: Eukaryota; Viridiplantae; Streptophyta; Magnoliopsida; Arecales; Arecaceae
Description: long non-coding RNA (EGUI_LNC062826)
Source: RNAcentral